This 184-nucleotide unclassified non-coding RNA is filed under the name uncultured Orbiliales. RNAcentral describes it as "sequence contains ITS1". The record is from RNAcentral. Lineage: Eukaryota; Fungi; Ascomycota; Orbiliomycetes; Orbiliales.
CCAAAUCUAUGGCCGAAAGGCCUUGCCCUAGGUGGGGAAACCCACCGACGGUAAACCCUUUGUGAAAACCUUUCGUUUGCCUCGGCGGCACCCUUUCGUUAGGGAUCAGCCCGCCGACGGCACCCAACCAAAACUCUUUUUUUAAGAAUUGAAGCUAGUCUGAAUCAAUGGUCGAAUGACUAUA